GACCUACUUUGCAAGUGAAUGAACACAAAGCUUUAUUAUGGCUAAGCAAUGCUAGCUAAUAAAACAAACAUGAAAAAUAAAAAAGAGCAAUAUGUCUCGUAUUAUCUGUUAGAAUUAAUGACGAGGGAGUGUUUUGAUCUAAGGCAAGGGCUAAACUAGCCUUGCUUGGCAACGUUGUCCAUUCAAUAUUGACAAGAUAGUUUUUUUUGUGAGACAUGAACAAGAGUAUCUAACUAACAAUAACACUCUGCAUGAGUGAUGAGCUAUAUCAAAAGUAAAGAAUGUAACAAAAAAUGCUAGCUAAUGCACCAAGCAUUAAAAAGGAAAAAAAGAGCAAAUGUCCUUAAUUCUCUAUUGGAAUAAAUGCUAAGGGAGAGUUUGGAUCUAAGGCCCUGUUUGUUUCAUAAGUCCUAGGACUUUUUUAAGUCCCAACUUAUAAGUCAUAAGUCCAUACCUGUUUGUUUACAGGGACUUAUAAGUUCCGAGUCCCUACCUGUUUGUUUACAGGGACUUAUAAGUCCAUGUUGCACCUAAUAAUACACUUGUUCACAUGGAUCGUCAUCACCCAACGCGUACGACACACAGGAUAAGCACCGCUGCAACAAGGCUCAGGAGAGGGCCUGUCCGGCGAUUGGAGGCACCGCUGCAACGAACCGAGGCAGAACGAACCGAGGCGGGGCGGCGACGGGGCGGCGAACCGAGGCAGAACGAACCGAGGCGGGGCGGCGACGGGGCGAGAGGCGGGGCGGCGACGGGGCGAGAGGCGGGGCGUCGGCGGCGAUUGGACCGAGAGGCAGGGCGGCGUGCGGGGAAUGAGCCUGGAGCGACGCGGGGUAGGUUCGGCCCGGGAUAAGUCCCAAUAAGCUCCUCCCUGAGAGUCUUAUUUGAUAAGUCCUAAAUCACCACAAUAAGUCCCAAUAAGUCCCUUGUGUUUAGUUUAGGUGGGACUUAUAGAGACUUUUUUAAGUCCCUAAACCAAUAAAUCCCUAGAAACAAACACCCUCUAAGGCAAGA
RNAcentral lists this long non-coding RNA (1014 nucleotides) under Hordeum vulgare. RNAcentral's name for it is "long non-coding RNA (HVUL_LNC008759)". Lineage: Eukaryota; Viridiplantae; Streptophyta; Magnoliopsida; Poales; Poaceae. The record is from RNAcentral.